This 398-nucleotide ribosomal RNA is filed under the name uncultured bacterium. Its description in RNAcentral is "partial 16S ribosomal RNA". It matches the Rfam family "Bacterial small subunit ribosomal RNA", at positions 523 to 918 of the family's 1533-position model. The record is from RNAcentral.
AUACGUAGGGUGCGAGCGUUGUCCGGAAUUACUGGGCGUAAAGAGCUCGUAGGUGGUUUGUCGCGUCGUCUGUGAAAUUCCGGGGCUUAACUCCGGGCGUGCAGGCGAUACGGGCAUAACUUGAGUACUGUAGGGGAGACUGGAAUUCCUGGUGUAGCGGUGAAAUGCGCAGAUAUCAGGAGGAACACCGGUGGCGAAGGGGGGUCUCUGGACAGUAACUGACGCUGAGGGGCGAAAGCUUGGGUAGAGAACAGGAUUAGAUACCCUGGUAGUCCAUGCCGUAAACGGUGGGCGCUAGGUGUAGGGGUCUUCCACGACUUCUGUGCCGUAGCUAACGCAUUAAGCGCCCCGCCUGGGGAGUACGGCCGCAAGGCUAAAACUCAAAUGAAUUGACGGGG